This 23-nucleotide non-coding RNA is filed under the name Arabidopsis thaliana (thale cress). Lineage: Eukaryota; Viridiplantae; Streptophyta; Magnoliopsida; Brassicales; Brassicaceae. The record is from RNAcentral.
UCUUUCUUGUUGCAUCACGAGAU